UACGGAGGGUGCAAGCGUUAUCCGGAUUCACUGGGUUUAAAGGGUGCGUAGGCGGGCAGGUAAGUCAGUGGUGAAAUUCUUGAGCUUAACUCGAGAACUGCCAUUGAUACUAUCUGUCUUGAAUAUUGUGGAGGUAAGCGGAAUAUGUCAUGUAGCGGUGAAAUGCUUAGAUAUGACAUAGAACACCUAUUGCGAAGGCAGCUUACUACGCAUAUAUUGACGCUGAGGCACGAAAGCGUGGGGAUCAAACAGG
This 253-nucleotide ribosomal RNA is filed under the name uncultured bacterium. RNAcentral describes it as "partial 16S ribosomal RNA". It matches the Rfam family "Bacterial small subunit ribosomal RNA", at positions 524 to 776 of the family's 1533-position model. The record is from RNAcentral.